CUUCUUCUUCUUCUUCUUCUUCUUUUUUCAGUUACCAACUAGUAAUUGGAUAAAUGCAGGGUCAUGCUUGUUCAAACUUCAAAGGCAUGCAUAGAUGAUCAACUUACAAGGAUUGGUAACAUAAGACAAAGAGGCCAUCCUCAAUUACUCUUCUCUGGCUCUUUGAAACAGGACAGAAGAACCACUGGACUGAAUGUCUG
This 200-nucleotide unclassified non-coding RNA is filed under the name Hevea brasiliensis (rubber tree). Lineage: Eukaryota; Viridiplantae; Streptophyta; Magnoliopsida; Malpighiales; Euphorbiaceae. The record is from RNAcentral.